AUUCCUAUAGGAUCCUAUAGGAAUUCCUAUUAGAUUUUGGCCCAAUUUCCUAUAGGAAUUCCUAUAGGAUCCUAUAGGAAAU
Molecule: non-coding RNA, 82 nt
Organism: Paramuricea clavata
Lineage: Eukaryota; Metazoa; Cnidaria; Anthozoa; Malacalcyonacea; Plexauridae
Source: the annotation of a GenBank genome assembly